Non-coding RNA from Camelina sativa (false flax), 228 nucleotides. The record is from RefSeq and is a predicted model, not a curated record. Lineage: Eukaryota; Viridiplantae; Streptophyta; Magnoliopsida; Brassicales; Brassicaceae.
GGGACAAGAAGUUUCAAUGGUUUCUGGAUUAGGUGAAGGCACAUCCCGUAGAGCUCAUUGCCAGCUAGGUUCUCCCAUUACAAAGGUUAUUCUUAAUAUUCAUCCUACUGGAUUGUAAAUUCCUGUUUGAGCUUUCCGGUCUCCACAUGCGCGCUACUAUAAUAAUGUCUUCCAUGGCUGUAAUGACCAAACUGAUAUUGACGACGUAACGGUAACAUGCUGCUGAAU